This 500-nucleotide ribosomal RNA is filed under the name uncultured Glomeromycotina. RNAcentral describes it as "partial small subunit ribosomal RNA". It matches the Rfam family "Eukaryotic small subunit ribosomal RNA", at positions 591 to 1092 of the family's 1831-position model. Lineage: Eukaryota; Fungi; Glomeromycota. The record is from RNAcentral.
CCAAUAGCGUAUAUUAAAGUUGUUGCAGUUAAAAAGCUCGUAGUUGAAUUUCGGGGUUAGUAGGUUGGUCAUGCCUCUGGUAUGUACUGGUCUCACUGAUUCCUCCUUCCUGAUGAGCCGUAAUGCCAUUAAUUUGGUGUUGCGGGGAAUUUGGACUGUUACUUUGAAAAAAUUAGAGUGUUUAAAGCAAGCUAACGCUUGAAUACAUUAGCAUGGAAUAAUGAAAUAGGACGUUCGAUCCUAUUUUGUUGGUUUCUAGGAUUGACGUAAUGAUUAAUAGGGAUAGUUGGGGGCAUUAGUAUUCAAUUGUCAGAGGUGAAAUUCUUGGAUUUAUUGAGGACUAACUACUGCGAAAGCAUUUGCCAAGGAUGUUUUCAUUAAUCAAGAACGAAAGUUAGGGGAUCGAAGACGAUCAGAUACCGUCGUAGUCUUAACCAUAAACUAUGCCGACUAGGGAUCGGAUGAUGUUAAUUUUUUAAUGACUCAUUCGGCGCCUUACG